This 377-nucleotide RNase P RNA is filed under the name Pedobacter cryotolerans. Its description in RNAcentral is "Bacterial RNase P class A". It matches the Rfam family "Bacterial RNase P class A". From Rfam's summary of the family: Ribonuclease P (RNase P) is a ubiquitous endoribonuclease, found in archaea, bacteria and eukarya as well as chloroplasts and mitochondria. Its best characterised activity is the generation of mature 5'-ends of tRNAs by cleaving the 5'-leader elements of precursor-tRNAs. The record is from Rfam by way of RNAcentral. Lineage: Bacteria; Pseudomonadati; Bacteroidota; Sphingobacteriia; Sphingobacteriales; Sphingobacteriaceae.
AAUGCAAGCCGUUCUAUCGCUGUCCCGAUUUAUCGAGAGAGAGGAAAGUCCGGGCAACAUAGAGCAUCUCGCUUCCUAACGGGAAGGCGUUUAGGAUUGAAUGCCUAAACGACAGAAAGUGCCACAGAAAAUAUACCGUCCCGACUUUAAGUUGGGAUAAGGGUGAAAACGUGAGGUAAGAGCUCACGAUCUCGCUAAGUGAUUAGCGAUUUGGUAAACCUCGGGAGUUGAAAGACCAAAUAGGCUAACGCAUGUAGGGCGGCUCGUUCGAUGUUAGUGGGUAGGUCGUUAGAGCUAAACGGCAACGUUUAGACUGGAUUAAUGAUAGAAUUCCGAUUUAUCGGAAACAGAACCCGGCUUACAGGCUUGUAUUUUUU